CUAUGCGCCUUGCCAGCCCGCUCAGGUGUGCCAGCCGCCGCGGUAAUACGUAGGUGGCAAGCGUUGUCCGGAUUUACUGGGUGUAAAGGGCGUGUAGCCGGGCUGACAAGUCAGAUGUGAAAUCCGGGGGCUCAACCCCCGAACUGCAUUUGAAACUGUUGGUCUUGAGUAUCGGAGAGGCAGGCGGAAUUCCUAGUGUAGCGGUGAAAUGCGUAGAUAUUAGGAGGAACACCAGUGGCGAAGGCGGCCUGCUGGACGACAACUGACGGUGAGGCGCGAAAGCGUGGGGAGCAAACAGG
This 299-nucleotide ribosomal RNA is filed under the name uncultured bacterium. Its description in RNAcentral is "partial 16S ribosomal RNA". It matches the Rfam family "Bacterial small subunit ribosomal RNA", at positions 475 to 776 of the family's 1533-position model. The record is from RNAcentral.